Long non-coding RNA from Spinacia oleracea (spinach), 546 nucleotides. RefSeq lists it as uncharacterized. The transcript is spliced from 2 exons. Lineage: Eukaryota; Viridiplantae; Streptophyta; Magnoliopsida; Caryophyllales; Amaranthaceae. The record is from RefSeq and is a predicted model, not a curated record.
UUAUAUUUUUAUGAUUUGAAUUAUGGCUACAGAGUGAAGCAAAGUGACAUAUUACGAGUGGAAGUUUUAUUGAGGAAAGAAGGGCUCGGCUUAACGACAUUGCUACUGAAAUGGAGAACUUAAAAGUUGAAUUAUCAGUGGUAAAGAAGCAAAAUGAAGACCUUGCACAACUUUGGACAAGUUUUGAAAGAAGUACGUAGAGGAAAUGUUUCAUCGGACCUUUUAGAUGGUGAAGAAUCAGCAAUUCACACGACUAAUGAUGAUUCAGGUGGGCAAUGGUAAUAUGGAUAAAGAUAUUGAAGACUUGAUCUCCACUCACGGCGAUUUGGGAACAAACGUUUUUUUUUAUGUUAAAGGAAAAAAAUGUUAUGUUAGUUGGAUAGUCCUAAGAAGUUAUUUUUAUUUCUAGUUUGUCUAAGGCCAAUAUUUGAUGUAUCGAUAUAUAAUACAUGAUCCUAUUAUUAUUUUGGUAUUUUGUUGAUUGGUUGGACAAAGCAACUAUGCACAUGGAUGUUUUUUAAUUAAAUUAAGUGUGUUUUCAAAUUA